CACCUAGGCACCUCGUAGGUGGAACAGAUUCCGAUCCCAAUUGCUUCAGUUACAUAAUAAUAUUAUUACAUGAGAUCUCUGCUGCUUUAUAUAUUUUACCAAAGAAUGUUUGAAAAUGUGAUGCUUUACAGUCAACACAAACAGGAUUCCCCCAUGCAUCCACUUCUCUUAGAAAUACAAAAUGGUAUAACCCAUCACAAGAAGAUCAUACAUUCCACUCCAAAUCAAGAUAAUCAUUUCAAUCAU
Molecule: long non-coding RNA, 246 nt
Organism: Alligator sinensis (Chinese alligator)
Lineage: Eukaryota; Metazoa; Chordata; Crocodylia; Alligatoridae
Exons: 4
Source: RefSeq, a predicted model, not a curated record